AAAAAAAAAAAGAAAAAAAAAUCCAGGCUGGAGUAAAAAAAAUGCAGAACUUUAAAAUAAAAAAGCAUACUCCAUCUACUAAAAAUUUACAGGAGCAAUCAUGGACUGAUGUGCAAGGAGGGAAAUAAUACGAGGAACAAACCUGCUUGUCGUUAUGCAGACAGAUGGAAGGAUUAUAGCAAGUAACAAAUUAUCAAGGGAUAUAAAGCUUUUAAGUGGUCAGCUUUUCCUCGUAGUACAAAAGCUGUUUUGUUUGAGGAUCCAUCACCAUAAAUAAUUUGUCAAUACGAAUCCGUGACUGGUGGGUUUUUGGAGGUGGCUUUGAUUGUUUAAUGACCACACUCAUUAGUCAUUACUGCAUUACUAGCUGUUUUUUUCCUUCAUUCCUUUGUUCUUGUAGAAAUUUGUGGACUUCAACAAAGAAAGAUCAAUAUAGGCUCUGUGUAAAACCAGGUGACGGACAUGAUAAUAGAUAACAGGAUAUCACACAGGAUGCUUGUGGAUAUAUUCACAACAUUCUAUACUGUUUUGCACCAAAUCCUUGACUGCAAAGUGUCUCAAGCGCUCCGCUCAAUCCUGUCUAAAUCCCAAAAGAUAAAGAAAAAUAAUUAACAGUUUCAUAUAGGAUAGGGAAAAUAAUUAAGGGCAAGUAGAAAGUAGAAACAGUAUGGUAGAGACCUUCAUGGUUUAACAAAUGUGAGUAGCUUUUGGUUAGCAGUUGGAGAUCCAAACACAGCUAGAAAUUUCUUUUUCUUUUUAGUGCUUCAAUUAUAAUUUUGAAUCCUAAUCUUCAGAUUUUUGGUAAAGUUACGAGACCAUUGGCAAAAAGGAAGAAGAAAAUCAGCAAUAUUGCAUCAGGAAAAAAAAAAAGGCAAG
RNAcentral lists this unclassified non-coding RNA (876 nucleotides) under Hevea brasiliensis (rubber tree). The record is from RNAcentral. Lineage: Eukaryota; Viridiplantae; Streptophyta; Magnoliopsida; Malpighiales; Euphorbiaceae.